AACGCGAAGAACCUUACCUGGGUUUGACAUACACCGGAUCGCCGCAGAGAUGCGGCUUCCCUUGUGGUCGGUGUACAGGUGGUGCAUGGCUGUCGUCAGCUCGUGUCGUGAGAUGUUGGGUUAAGUCCCGCAACGAGCGCAACCCUUGUCUUAUGUUGCCAGCACGUAAUGGUGGGGACUCUAGAGGGACUGCCGAUGACAAAUCGGAGGAAGGUGGGGAUGACGUCAAAUCGUCAUGCCCUUUAUGUCCUGGGCUACACACGUGCUACAAUGGUCGGUACAACGAGCAGCUACACAGCGAUGUGAUGCAAAUCUCUUAAAGCCGAUCCCAGUUCGGAUUGUAGGCUGCAACUCGCCUACAUGAAGUCGGAGUUGCUAGUAAUCGUGGAUCAGAAUGCCGCGGUGAAUGCGUUCCCGGGCCUUGUACACACCG
Molecule: ribosomal RNA, 433 nt
Filed under: uncultured bacterium
Lineage: Bacteria
Description: bacterial SSU rRNA
Rfam family: Bacterial small subunit ribosomal RNA
Source: RNAcentral